UCCCAGGUGACUCAGUGGUAAAGAAUCUGCCUGCCAAGCAGGAGCUGCAGGUUCGAUCCCUGUGUUGAGAA
This 71-nucleotide transfer RNA is filed under the name Bos taurus (domestic cattle). It matches the Rfam family "tRNA". Rfam says of the family: Transfer RNA (tRNA) molecules are approximately 80 nucleotides in length. Their secondary structure includes four short double-helical elements and three loops (D, anti-codon, and T loops). The record is from Rfam by way of RNAcentral. Lineage: Eukaryota; Metazoa; Chordata; Mammalia; Artiodactyla; Bovidae. RNAcentral also lists the same sequence under 3 other names.